UGUCUCCGGGCGGCGCAGCUCGUUCGCUCUAUUAACAAUGUCGUAACGACUCUCGGCAACGGAUAUCUAGGCUCUCGCAUCGAUGAAGAACGUAGCGAAAUGCGAUACUUGGUGUGAAUUGCAGAAUCCCGUGAACCAUCGAGUCUUUGAACGCAAGUUGCGCCCGAAGCCGUCAGGCCGAGGGCACGUCUGCCUGGGCGUCACGCA
RNAcentral lists this ribosomal RNA (207 nucleotides) under Forsskaolea angustifolia. Its description in RNAcentral is "5.8S ribosomal RNA". The stretch from base 48 to 203 matches the Rfam family "5.8S ribosomal RNA". From Rfam's summary of the family: 5.8S ribosomal RNA (5.8S rRNA) is a component of the large subunit of the eukaryotic ribosome. It is transcribed by RNA polymerase I as part of the 45S precursor that also contains 18S and 28S rRNA. The record is from RNAcentral. Lineage: Eukaryota; Viridiplantae; Streptophyta; Magnoliopsida; Rosales; Urticaceae.